UAUUAUAUCAAUCUUUAGGAUAGCAUCACGAUAUAUGUUGAUCACGACGCUGGUAUGCAGAGGACAUUUAACACUGGUGUCAACGAGGAUGGCAGCACGUUUCCUUAUACGAUUAUCACUAACUAUACCACGCACACAAAUUAUUUCAUAAAGGACGAGGGUCGUAUCUGCAAAUCCUACGGUUCCUUUCCGGAGACAUUUCUCUGUGUUCCAAUUCGACUUUUACAGAGGAAGGUGUGUACGUAGGACGUCACGUGAUCGGAAGUUACGAGAACAACUUUAGUAUCGACAUGUGGAAAAUUAAUCCAGGUCAAUCAGAUGAUUGGAUGUCUUUUACCUCCAACGAUUGUCUCCCCUUCAUGAGGACACUUACAGAAUCAAACUCGACCAGUCCAAGCCAGUCCAUAUACACUUACAGUAACGUGACAGUGGGAGUACCAGACGAUAUAUUCAGCCUCCCGCCGUCAUGUCUACCUCAUUAAAUAUAUAGGUAUCAAACACUUGUAACACUUACUUACAUUGUAUGUGAUAACACAUGUAGAAAUAUAACAGCCAUAUUGAUUUGUACGAAACGUAUAUAUAUGUGCAUGUUUCUUCUAUCAUUUUUUUUCGAUAUUGUUUGUCAUUUUAUCAUAUUUACAACAACAACAACAACAACAACAACAACAACAUUUAACCCCCUUUUUUUCUUUUAAAUUGACAUUAAUGUGUUUUUUCAUAUGAGGACAUAUUUAAUCCGGCGAAAUAAUUUCAAUAACAGCACAUCAAAUUUAACCCGAUCAUCUACGACAAUUUAUUUCGUAACUUCGACAGUUUAUUGAUAAAAACAUCAUAAAAGCAGUCCUCCUUUUUAUUCAGGAAACAAAUCAUGUAACCCUUUCUACAUAUGGAAUACAGUACUACUAGAUUCUAUCAAAUCCUAAUAUCAUGUUGUCCUUUCAUGUAUUAAUUUGUCAUUGACCAGACUUGUGCUUUUAUUUAACGAAAUGAAAUCUAUGUUAUGCUUCAAUACAAAAUUAAAGUUUGAAUAAAAAAAAAUAGAAUCUAACGACAUAGUUUACAUUAUCAUUAAAAUCAAAAUAUUAAAAUGUUUACCACGUAUUU
This is an RNA transcript of Pecten maximus, 1104 nucleotides long. RefSeq lists it as uncharacterized. NCBI's taxonomy places the organism in Eukaryota, Metazoa, Mollusca, Bivalvia, Pectinida, Pectinidae. The transcript has 4 exons. The record is from RefSeq and is a predicted model, not a curated record.